GCAGGGCAUGGUAGCACAUGCCUGUAAUCCCAGCAGCUCAGGAGGCUGAGGCAGGAGGAUCACAGGUUCAAAGCCAGCCGCAGCAAUUCAGCAAGGCUGUAGGCAAUGUAGUGAGACCCUGUCUCAA
Molecule: small RNA, 127 nt
Filed under: Marmota monax (woodchuck)
Lineage: Eukaryota; Metazoa; Chordata; Mammalia; Rodentia; Sciuridae
Source: RNAcentral